RNAcentral lists this transfer RNA (68 nucleotides) under Neodon nyalamensis. RNAcentral describes it as "tRNA-Pro". It matches the Rfam family "tRNA". From Rfam's summary of the family: Transfer RNA (tRNA) molecules are approximately 80 nucleotides in length. Their secondary structure includes four short double-helical elements and three loops (D, anti-codon, and T loops). Further hydrogen bonds mediate the characteristic L-shaped molecular structure. tRNAs have two regions of fundamental functional importance: the anti-codon, which is responsible for specific mRNA codon recognition, and the 3' end, to which the tRNAs corresponding amino acid is attached (by aminoacyl-tRNA synthetases). tRNAs cope with the degeneracy of the genetic code in two manners: having more than one tRNA (with a specific anti-codon) for a particular amino acid; and 'wobble' base-pairing, i.e. permitting non-standard base-pairing at the 3rd anti-codon position. Lineage: Eukaryota; Metazoa; Chordata; Mammalia; Rodentia; Cricetidae. The record is from RNAcentral.
CAGGAAGUAGUUUAAGUAGAAUAUCAGCUUUGGGUGCUGAUGGUGGAGGAGUGGUCCUUCCUUCUUGA